Molecule: ribosomal RNA, 498 nt
Filed under: uncultured bacterium
Lineage: Bacteria
Description: partial 16S ribosomal RNA
Rfam family: Bacterial small subunit ribosomal RNA
Source: RNAcentral
AUUGAACGCUGGCGGCAUGCUUUACACAUGCAAGUCGAACGGUAACAGGCCGCAAGGUGCUGACGAGUGGCGAACGGGUGAGUAAUGCAUCGGAACGUGCCCAGUCGUGGGGGAUAACGCAGCGAAAGCUGCGCUAAUACCGCAUACGAUCUAUGGAUGAAAGCGGGGGACCGUAAGGCCUCGCGCGAUUGGAGCGGCCGAUGUCAGAUUAGGUAGGUGGUGGGGUAAAGGCUCACCAAGCCAACGAUCUGUAGCUGGUCUGAGAGGACGACCAGCCACACUGGGACUGAGACACGGCCCAGACUCCUACGGGAGGCAGCAGUGGGGAAUUUUGGACAAUGGGCGCAAGCCUGAUCCAGCAAUGCCGCGUGCAGGAAGAAGGCCUUCGGGUUGUAAACUGCUUUUGUACGGAACGAAACGGCUCUGGUUAAUACCUGGGGCUAAUGACGGUACCGUAAGAAUAAGCACCGGCUAACUACGUGCCAGCCGCCGCGGUAA